AAGCGCUUGCAAUCAGACUUGCACUCUAUUGAUCAUCCGGCGUUUUCACCGGUGCACUCUAUAGGGUUCAGGCUAGCAUCAGUUCUGGUGGUUGGAUAAAGAUCUUGGGAAUGUAGCUCCUCUUGGGGAGUGUUAUAGCCCUUGGUGUAAUGCAUCCUACUGGGACUGAGGUCCGCGCUUCGGCUAGGAUGCUGGCGUAAUGGUUGUAAGCGG
Molecule: ribosomal RNA, 213 nt
Filed under: Rhytismataceae sp.
Lineage: Eukaryota; Fungi; Ascomycota; Leotiomycetes; Rhytismatales; Rhytismataceae
Description: partial large subunit ribosomal RNA
Source: RNAcentral